UGACUGGUUGCUUACUAUUAGCACUGCGAAGUCCUGCAUCUGAUCCCACAAGGUUCAAAAUAUAAAAUAAGUGUCAUCUAAAUUGUCCCAUAUUGAUAAUUACCUAGAAAAAGACGUGGUGAUGAAAAAAAGGUUCAAGACAGAAAAGAGAAAGCUAAGCUCCAGAGGAGAGAAGAGAGACAGAUAGAACGAGAUGAAAAACACCCCCAAGAGCAGCAGAAGGUACCAGCUGAAGAACAGCAGUGGCCAGAGAAUAUGCCUGAAUGGGAAGAAAGGAAAUCCCUGCUAGCUCAGAGAAGAGUGGAGUCUGUCAGACUGCUUACAGUGCUGUUAAACCGAGUGAAAGAUUUUGCACAGUUGGCAAGUCAAAAAGUGGAUCCUUCGUUGGGCCUAAGGAAGGACGAUUCUUUUCCUGAAACAACAUUAAAAGACAUACAUCAGGAAGAGAUAAACUCCCAUUGCCAUACGCACAAAGAUUUGAAACAUAAGGAAGAGUUUACAUGUCAGUUAACCCAAAAAGGUAGCACCUUAUGUAGUGAGGAAGGAGAUGUGACUAACUUGUGUGCAUCCACCUGUCAUAUAGUCAGGACAGUUUUAAAUGAUCCCAGUAGAGCCCUGAGUUGUGACAGCUUGACGGGCAGAGAUGCGUGCAACUCCUUUGGCUGUGGAUCUUUACUGAUUACAGUUACUCAAGACUGCAAGGUCAUCGAGCCUCUCGAGAGAAGGGACUGCCCAACACUGAAUGUAGUUCGCACGCAGACAGUGUCUGAUGAAGACGGCUGCAAAAAGCAAAAGGUCUAUGAGACUGAUGAAUUUAUCCAUUAUUUAUUAAACUACUAUCAGACACCGAGCUAUGCACGUGUUUGCUUAGAGCCAAAAAGCACCGUGAGCAGGUCCUGGUGGAAGAGAGUGGUGUCUGAUGAUGAUAGUGGUUUUCAGAUCAGCUUGAGUAACAAACAUGAUCAGCACUUCAGAGAAGUGAGUCUUGUGCAAAACCUCAGCAAGAGAAAUUGUAGUAGAGAUGACAAUUAUAGACUGGUGAUCGAGGUUGGGGAAUUUGAAACUACAGACACAGUGUUGAAAAGCAAGACCUGUGCGAGUAGGCUUGCAAAAAAACUGCAAGCACAGAGGAAUGACUCACUGGCUGUUGAUAACUUACCACGUGCUGGACUGAAUCGCUUUUUGGACGGCACCACUGCUAGUCAUGAUAAGGAAUUCCAUCUAGAAGACAGUAGAGGUGAAGCUACUGUACCAUACAAAAUGUGUAGAUCUGCUUUCCAAUUAAAGAACUUGUUGGAAGAGAUCAGUGACUCAGAGUACUUUGGUGAGACACAUAGUGGCUCAAUGAAGAGGACAGAGAGAAAGUGUGAAGAAAUUCACAGCAAUUGUGAUAAAGGGUGCUUGCUCCCAGGAGAGGGAGAGAGAAAAUUACUGGUUUAUGUUAAAAAUGUAGCCCUGGAAGGUCGAGAAAAGGAAUGCAGCAAAUGUAGCUUCUGUUCUAAUUCUGCCUGUGAGGGAUUGUCAAGGCAGUGUGAACACAAGUUUAAAAAGUCAUGCAAGCGGUCUAGUAGUAAAUUAAGACUUGAAGGACAGAGAAGUGAGAGACAAUCCAGGGAAGAGGAGAGGAAUGCUCACAAAAAGAAGAAAAAGAGAAAAAAGCUUUCUUCUAAUCUUUUAUCUGAUGAAUAUGGCUUUUCAGAGACAGACAGUUGCAUACAGCUGGAGUCACUCAGAAAGAUACAAAAAACAUGUAACAAAAUGUUGCACAAGAAAAUGAAGUUGAAAGCGCUUCACCCGGUGACAGCGGCUCCAGAAGAUGUUCCUCCUGGCGAUGCCUCACCUCUCCAGGGGAGCCUCCGGAGGGCAGGAGAUGAGAGGAAGUUAAUACUGAGAAGAGAGAUGGAUGCUGAUGUCAGAGGAUGCCCUCUUUAUCCUCUUGAAAUAAUUCAGACCAACCCCCGCUCAGAUACAUUGUGUGGAGCAGAACCUGGAAGAGGAUGCUGAGCAGCUGCUGUGUAAUAGCUCUUAAGCCUACUCACAGAAGUGGGAGAAAGUAAGUCCUUUAGUCAUUAAAAGUUAUCUGAAAUAUUGGAUUUCUUGUUUUGUGUGUAGAUAAUUUCUUCUGUAUGGAGGAGUAGAAUAAUCUUACUGGUGUAGUGAGCCAAAAAAUGAGAAUUUUUAUCUGACUACUGGACAACAAAGGACCAAAAUGUUUCCCAGAGACAGACAAACUUUUGUGGACCAGUUGCUAAGAAUUCAAAAAGUAGCAGUUUGAUAUCUUGGAGUUGUACCCAGAUUAAAUCUAGGGUGCCAUGUAAAUAUAGGAGCUACAGUUUUUGGCAGUACUGA
Tinamus guttatus (white-throated tinamou) is the source of this 2349-nucleotide non-coding RNA. The record is from RefSeq and is a predicted model, not a curated record. NCBI's taxonomy places the organism in Eukaryota, Metazoa, Chordata, Aves, Tinamiformes, Tinamidae.